RNAcentral lists this small RNA (17 nucleotides) under Arabidopsis thaliana (thale cress). RNAcentral's name for it is "ATSL129260". The record is from RNAcentral. Lineage: Eukaryota; Viridiplantae; Streptophyta; Magnoliopsida; Brassicales; Brassicaceae.
UAAGAAGACUUACAAAU